RNAcentral lists this unclassified non-coding RNA (612 nucleotides) under Quercus dentata. RNAcentral describes it as "sequence contains ITS1, 5.8S rRNA gene, ITS2". The stretch from base 239 to 394 matches the Rfam family "5.8S ribosomal RNA". Lineage: Eukaryota; Viridiplantae; Streptophyta; Magnoliopsida; Fagales; Fagaceae. The record is from RNAcentral.
UCAUUGUCGAAACCUGCACAGCAGAACGACCCGCGAAUUGGUUACAACCGACGGGGGGCGGGGGGCGCUCCUCGUUCGCCCCCCUCGCCCCCCCCCUGCGGGUGGGGACCUCGCGUCUCCUGCCCGCAAACCGAACCCCGGCGCGGAACGCGCCAAGGAAAUCUAACCAAGAGAGCCAUGCCGGAGGCCCCGGACACGGUGCGCCCCCGGCGUCGGCGUCUUAUGAAUUAUUCAAAACGACUCUCGGCAACGGAUAUCUAGGCUCUCGCAUCGAUGAAGAACGUAGCGAAAUGCGAUACUUGGUGUGAAUUGCAGAAUCCCGCGAAUCAUCGAGUUUUUGAACGCAAGUUGCGCCCGAAGCCAUUCGGCCGAGGGCACGUCUGCCUGGGUGUCACGCAUCGUUGCCCCCCCAAACUCCGGUUCGGGCGGGGCGGAAGUUGGCCUCCCGUGCGUGCCUGCGUGCGCGGUUAGCCCAAAAGCGAGUCCUCGGCGACGAGCGCCACGACAAUCGGUGGUUUUUUUACCCUCGUUCCUCGUCGUGCGUGCCCCGUCGCCCGAACGUGCUCUUGCGACCCUUACGCGUCGCCUCGGCGGCGCUCCCAACGCGACCCC